UGACUAGCUAACUGAAAUCUUAAGAUCAUUUAACAAUGGUACUUGAGAUAACGUAAGGGAAAAAAAUGAUAUUACCUUACUAUAAGUGUUGUCCAACAUUACUGGUGCCAGAAGACUCGGUAACGCCAGAAACGCAAACGUUAGUCGUCCUAAUCAGGCGUAAAGGGUAAGUAGGCUGCUUUAAAAGUUAUUAAUUAGAAAGCUCUUUAAAUUUUUAAAGUAAUUAAUAAUGAAUUAAAGCUAGAAUCAAACAGAGGAUAAGCCAAAUAAUGUUUAGAGUAGGGAUGAAAUCCGGAGAUACUAAAUGGAAUACUAAUGGUGAAAACUUUUAUCUAAUAAUGAUUGACGCUGAGGAACGAAGGUGAGAAUAGAAAAUAGGAUUAGAGACCCAGAUAUCUCUCACUGUCAACGAUGAAUGGUGGUUGUUAGUUUUAAAAUAAACUAGUAACGAUGUUAACGCGAUAACCAUUUCCGCCUUGCGAGUACGGUUGCAAAACUGAAACCAAAAAAAUUAGUCGGUGCUCGGAGCAAACGA
This 535-nucleotide ribosomal RNA is filed under the name Calvatia gigantea. RNAcentral describes it as "partial 12S ribosomal RNA". It matches the Rfam family "Bacterial small subunit ribosomal RNA", at positions 389 to 932 of the family's 1533-position model. Lineage: Eukaryota; Fungi; Basidiomycota; Agaricomycetes; Agaricales; Lycoperdaceae. The record is from RNAcentral.